UACGUAGGGGCCAAGCGUUAUCCGGAUUUACUGGGCGUAAAGAGCAUGUAGGUGGUCUAUUAAGUCGGACGUGAAAGCUCCUGGCUCAACUGGGAGAGGUCGUUCGAAACUAAUAGACUUGAGGAUGGUAGAGGAGAGCGGAAUUCCAGGUGUAGCGGUGAAAUGCGUAGAUAUCUGGAGGAACACCAGUGGCGAAAGCGGCUCUCUGGCCCAUUCCUGACACUGAGAUGCGAAAGCCAGGGGAGAGAACGGG
Molecule: ribosomal RNA, 253 nt
Filed under: uncultured bacterium
Lineage: Bacteria
Description: partial 16S ribosomal RNA
Rfam family: Bacterial small subunit ribosomal RNA
Source: RNAcentral